GGGGAAUCUUCCGCAAUGGACGAAAGUCUGACGGAGCAACGCCGCGUGAGUGAUGACGGCCUUCGGGUUGUAAAGCUCUGUUAAUCGGGACGAAUGGUUCUUGUGCAAAUAGUGCGAGGAUUUGACGGUACCGGAAUAGAAAGCCACGGCUAACUACGUGCCAGCAGCCGCGGUAAUACGUAGGUGGCAAGCGUUGUCCGGAAUUAUUGGGCGUAAAGCGCGCGCAGGCGGAUUGGUCAGUCUGUCUUAAAAGUUCGGGGCUUAACCCCGUGAUGGGAUGGAAACUGCCAAUCUAGAGUAUCGGAGAGGAAAGUGGAAUUCCUAGUGUAGCGGUGAAAUGCGUAGAUAUUAGGAAGAACACCAGUGGCGAAGGCGACUUUCUGGACGAGAACUGACGCUGAGGCGCGAAAGCCAGGGGAGCGAACGGGAUUAGAUACCCCGGUAGUCCUGGCCGUAAACGAUGGGUACUAGGUGUAGGAGGUAUCGACCCCUUCUGUGCCGGAGUUAACGCAAUAAGUACCCCGCCUGGGGAGUACGACCGCAAGGUUG
RNAcentral lists this ribosomal RNA (549 nucleotides) under uncultured bacterium. RNAcentral describes it as "bacterial SSU rRNA". It matches the Rfam family "Bacterial small subunit ribosomal RNA", at positions 356 to 896 of the family's 1533-position model. The record is from RNAcentral.